This 875-nucleotide ribosomal RNA is filed under the name Fomitiporia sp. PS5 MA-2013. Its description in RNAcentral is "eukaryotic LSU rRNA". It matches the Rfam family "Eukaryotic large subunit ribosomal RNA", at positions 66 to 915 of the family's 3401-position model. Lineage: Eukaryota; Fungi; Basidiomycota; Agaricomycetes; Hymenochaetales; Hymenochaetaceae. The record is from RNAcentral.
UAACAAGGAUUCCCCUAGUAACUGCGAGUGAAGCGGGAUAAGCUCAAAUUUAAAAUCUGGCAGUCUUCUGGCUGUCCGAGUUGUAAUCUGGAGAAGCGUUUUCUGUGUUAGACCGUGUACAAGUCUCCUGGAACGGAGCGUCAUAGAGGGUGAGAAUCCCGUCCAUGACACGGACAACUAAUACUUUGUGAUACGCUCUCGAAGAGUCGAGUUGUUUGGGAAUGCAGCUCAAAAUGGGUGGUAAAUUCCAUCUAAAGCUAAAUACAGGCGAGAGACCGAUAGCGAACAAGUACCGUGAGGGAAAGAUGAAAAGCACUUUGGAAAGAGAGUUAAACAGUACGUGAAAUUGUUGAAAGGGAAACGCUUGAAGUCAGUCGCGUUGUCCAGAACUCAGCCUUGCUCCUUGCUUGGUGUACUUUCUGAAUUCAACGGGUCAACAUCAAUUUUGGUUCAUGGAGAAAGGUGGGGGGAAUGUAGCGUUGCUUCGGCAGCGUGUUAUAGCCUCUCACUGUAUACAUGGGCUGGGAUUGAGGAACGCAGCACGCCCUUGUGGCCGGGGGCUCGCCCCACGUACCGUGCUUCGGAUGUUGGCAGAAUGGCUUUAAGCGACCCGUCUUGAAACACGGACCAAGGAGUCUAACAUGCUUGCGAGUGUUCGGGUGGAAAACCCUUGUGCGUAAUGAAAGUGAAAGUUGGGAACCUCCGCAAGGGGGUGCACCGACGCCCGGCCCUGACGUUCUCUGACGGUGCUGCGGUAGAGCAGGUAUGCUAGGACCCGAAAGAUGGUGAACUAUGCCUGAAUAGGGCGAAGCCAGAGGAAACUCUGGUGGAGGCUCGUAGCGAUUCUGACGUGCAAAUCGAUCGUCAAAUUUGGG